ACGAAGGCGCACGAACUGACCCGACCGUUACCGAAAGUACAUUUUUUUAAUGUUACAUCUGUAUUCUCGUGAUGAGAUAAAUGCUCACGAUUUCUGGAGCGCAAGAGGAAAAUAUUUUUUUAUUAAUUAUGUAUAAUACUAAAAAAUUUAAAAAGCACAUAAUACUAAAGUAGAAGAACUUACUUGAAGGUAGAAAAAAUUUCAUCUACCCUUUCCAUCUGAAAAAAAAAAAGUUAUCACCGUUUCAAAUUGAGCGUGAGCAAAAUGCUCAUAACAAGAGUGCUGACGGGUUAACAACAUGCCGCGACCAAAACGAUCAGAUCUUUCCCGACACAGCCGUACUGCAAGAAAGUCUCGAAACAUUACGAAUAAAAGGACUGAAGAAGAACAAGAAAUUGCACGUGAACAGUGCCGCGUUAGUAUGGCUCGACUUCGUGCUUCUCAAUCUCAAGAGCAAAGGGAUGCAGUCCGUGAAACGGCUCGGGUGGCAAUGCGAAAUCGCACAAAACGCAAGAGAAGAAAUUUAUCAAGUACAGAUUCGAAUCGAGCAGCGUUUCGAUACGAUUGCUGCACUGAUUACUGCUUGCAUACUAGCGUUCGUAUUGGGCCAAUGGACAUUGUAUGCGAGUAUUGUGGCGCGUUUAAGUUUUCCGGAGGAACGCCAGGAUUGUGCUGCCUGAGUAGGAAAGAGAAACUACCAUUAAUGACUCCACCACCUGAGCCAUUGCAUUCAUUGCUUCGUGGCGGAACUAAGUUCGUCGGGUCAGCUAGUAGUUGUAUAAAAAGGGAGUGUGAAGAUAUUUUUACUGAAGAUUUAUUGGGAUCUGAGGACUAUGAAAAUGACAACAUAAAACCUGAGCCUAGUGUAGAUUGCUAUGAAGAUUAUGUAAUUAAUUAUGAUUGAAAAAUAUUUAUUUAUUAAAAGUUAUAUGUGAUUUUGUUGUGAUUAUGAUUUAUAUAUUUGAGUUGACAUGUUUUGCCCUGAGGGCAUAUAUGUACAUAAACUGUUUAUUUUUAACUUUUAAUACAUAAAUAUUUUUCAACUAUACAAAAAUGGAUUAUGUAUUCAACAUUCAAGGUAAUAAAAUUAAUUAUGAUAUUGAGGAA
Dalotia coriaria is the source of this 1107-nucleotide long non-coding RNA. RefSeq lists it as uncharacterized. The record is from RefSeq and is a predicted model, not a curated record. NCBI's taxonomy places the organism in Eukaryota, Metazoa, Arthropoda, Insecta, Coleoptera, Staphylinidae. The transcript has 2 exons.